Molecule: ribosomal RNA, 708 nt
Filed under: uncultured Gammaproteobacteria bacterium
Lineage: Bacteria; Pseudomonadati; Pseudomonadota; Gammaproteobacteria
Description: bacterial SSU rRNA
Rfam family: Bacterial small subunit ribosomal RNA
Source: RNAcentral
UCCACGCUGUAAACGAUGUCAACUAGCCGUUGGAACUCUUGAAGUUUUAGUGGCGCAGCUAACGCACUAAGUUGACCGCUGGGGAGUACGGUCGCAAGAUUAAAACUCAAAUGAAUUGACGGGGGCCCGCACAAGCGGUGGAGCAUGUGGUUUAAUUCGACGCAACGCGAAGAACCUUACCUGGCCUUGACAUGUCCGGAAUCUAACAGAGAUGUUGGAGUGCCUUCGGGAAUCGGAACACAGGUGCUGCAUGGCUGUCGUCAGCUCGUGUCGUGAGAUGUUGGGUUAAGUCCCGUAACGAGCGCAACCCCUGUCCCUAGUUACCAGCACGUUAUGGUGGGCACUUUAGGGAGACUGCCGAUGACAAAUCGGAGGAAGGUGGGGAUGAUGUCAAGUCAUCAUGGCCCUUACGGCCAGGGCUACACACGUGCUACAAUGGUUGGUACAAAGGGUUGCCAAGCUGUGAAGUGGAGCUAAUCUCAUAAAACCAAUCGUAGUCCGGAUUGAAGUCUGCAACUCGACUUCAUGAAGUCGGAAUCGCUAGUAAUCGUGAAUCAGAAUGUCACGGUGAAUACGUUCCCGGGCCUUGUACACACCGCCCGUCACACCAUGGGAGUGGGUUGCUCCAGAAGUAGCUAGACUAACCUUAGGGGGGUCGGUUACCACGGAGUGAUUCAUGACUGGGGUGAAGUCGUAACAAGGUAACCA